GAUGAACGCUGGCGGCGUGCCUAAUACAUGCGAGUCGAGCGAACAGACGAGGAGCUUGCUCCUCUGACGUUAGCGGCGGACGGGUGAGUAACACGUGGAUAACCUACCUAUAAGACUGGGAUAACUUCGGGAAACCGGAGCUAAUACCGGAUAAUAUAUUGAACCGCAUGGUUCAAUAGUGAAAGACGGUUUUGCUGUCACUUAUAGAUGGAUCCGCGCCGCAUUAGCUAGUUGGUAAAGUAACGGCUUACCAAGGCAACGAUGCGUAGCCGACCUGAGAGGGUGAUCGGCCACACUGGAACUGAGACACGGUCCAGACUCCUACGGGAGGCAGCAGUAGGGAAUCUUCCGCAAUGGGCGAAAGCCUGACGGAGCAACGCCGCGUGAGUGAUGAAGGUCUUCGGAUCGUAAAACCCUGUUAUUAGGGAAGAACAAAUGUGUAAGUAACUAUGCACGUCUUGACGGUACCUAAUCAGAAAGCCACGGCUAACUACGUG
This 497-nucleotide ribosomal RNA is filed under the name uncultured bacterium. Its description in RNAcentral is "partial 16S ribosomal RNA". It matches the Rfam family "Bacterial small subunit ribosomal RNA", at positions 28 to 507 of the family's 1533-position model. The record is from RNAcentral.